GACGAACGCUGGCGGCGUGCUUAACACAUGCAAGUCGAACGGAACCGCCCUUCGGGGUGCUCGAGUGGCGAACGGGGGGGUGAAACCUGGGUGAUCUGCCGUGCUCACUGGGCUAAGGCGGGGCAACUGGGUCUAAUACCCAUUAGGCCCACGCGCUAUAUGGUGUGGGGUGGCACGCGUUUGCGGAGCUGGAUGGGAGCGUGGCCGAUUAGCUUGUUGGUGGGGUAUGGGCAUACCAAGGCGACGACGGGUAGCCGAGCUGAGAGGGUGACCGGCCACGCUGGGACUGAGAUGCGGCCCAGACUCGUACGGGACGCAGCGGUGGGGAAUAUUACACAAUGGGCGCAAGCCAGGUGCAGCGACGCAGCGUGGGGGAUGACGGCAUUGGGGUUGUAAACCACUUUCAAUUGAGACGAAGCGAAAGUGACGGUACCUAUAGAAGAAGCACCGGCUAACUACGUG
Molecule: ribosomal RNA, 462 nt
Filed under: uncultured bacterium
Lineage: Bacteria
Description: partial 16S ribosomal RNA
Rfam family: Bacterial small subunit ribosomal RNA
Source: RNAcentral